Molecule: unclassified non-coding RNA, 357 nt
Filed under: soil metagenome
Description: partial contains 5.8S ribosomal RNA, internal transcribed spacer 2, and large subunit ribosomal RNA
Rfam family: 5.8S ribosomal RNA (bases 1-120)
Source: RNAcentral
GAUGAAGAACGUAGCGAAAUGCGAUAAGUAAUGUGAAUUGCAGAAUUCAGUGAAUCAUCGAAUCUUUGAACGCACAUUGCGCCCGUCAGUAUUCUGGCGGGCAUGCCUGUUCGAGCGUCAUUACGCCCCUCAAGUCCCCUGUGGACUUGGUGUUGGGGAUCGGCGAGGCUGGUUUUCCAGCACAGCCGUCCCUUAAAUUAAUUGGCGGUCUCGCCGUGGCCUCCUCUGCGCAGUAGUAAAACACUCGCAACAGGAGCCCGGCGCGGUCCACUGCCGUAAAACCCCCCAACUUUUUAUAGUUGACCUCGAAUCAGGUAGGACUACCCGCUGAACUUAAGCAUAUCAAUAAGCGGAGGA